CCUACGUGCGGCAGCAGUGGGGCAUAUUGCACAAUGGGGGAAACCCUGAUGCAGCGACGCCGCGUGAGUGAAGAAGUACUUCGUUAUGCAACGCUCUAUCAGCAGGGAAGAAAAUGACGGUACCUGAGUAAGAAGCCCCGGCUAACUACGUGCCAGCAGCCGCGGUACGCCGUAGGGGGCAAGCGUUAUCCGGGUUUACUGGGUGUAAAGGGAGCGUAGACGGCAGUGCAAGUCUGGAUUGAAAGGUCGGGGCUCAACCCCCGGCCUGCUCUGGAAGCUGUUCGGCUGGAGUGCAGGAGAGGUAAGGGGAAUUCCUAGUGUAGCGGUGAAAUGCGUAGAUAUUAGGAGGAACACCAGUGGCGAAGGCGGCUUACUGGACUGUAACUGACGUUGAGGCUCGAAAGCGUGGGGAGCAAACAGGAUUAGAUACCCGUGUAGUC
Molecule: ribosomal RNA, 440 nt
Filed under: uncultured bacterium
Lineage: Bacteria
Description: partial 16S ribosomal RNA
Rfam family: Bacterial small subunit ribosomal RNA
Source: RNAcentral